GUCCUGGAGGAGCCCAAGUCAAAGAUGAGAAAACUCAGGUUCAUCAAGGCCUCUCACUGCUGUGGGCUCUCCCGCUGUGGAGCACAGGUUCCGGACGUGCAGUCUCAGCGGCCAUGGCUCACGUGCCCAGCCGCUCUGCGGCACGUGGGAU
Long non-coding RNA from Lagenorhynchus albirostris (white-beaked dolphin), 151 nucleotides. RefSeq lists it as uncharacterized. The record is from RefSeq and is a predicted model, not a curated record. Lineage: Eukaryota; Metazoa; Chordata; Mammalia; Artiodactyla; Delphinidae. The transcript is spliced from 3 exons.